CAGUCGCCGCGGUAAUAUGUAGGGUGCGAGCGUUAAUCGGAAUUACUGGGCGUAAAGCGUGCGCAGGCGGUUGUGUAAGACAGGUGUGAAAUCCCCGGGCUUAACCUGGGAACUGCGCUUGUGACUGCACAGCUAGAGUAUGGCAGAGGGGGAUGGAAUUCCACGUGUAGCAGUGAAAUGCGUAGAGAUGUGGAGGAACACCGAUGGCGAAGGCAGCCCCCUGGGCCAAUACUGACGCUCGUGCACGAAAGCGUGGGGAGCAAACAGGAUUAGAUACCCCUGUAGUCCCUGUCUCUUAUAC
Molecule: ribosomal RNA, 301 nt
Filed under: uncultured bacterium
Lineage: Bacteria
Description: partial 16S ribosomal RNA
Rfam family: Bacterial small subunit ribosomal RNA
Source: RNAcentral